CCUACGGGAGGCAGCAGUGGGGAAUAUUGGGCAAUGGAGGCAACUCUGACCCAGCAACGCCGCGUGAAUGAUGAAGGUCUUCGGAUUGUAAAGUUCUGUGAUGGGGGAUGAACACAAUGACGGUACCCCAAUAGCAAGCCACGGCUAACUACGUGCCAGCAGCCGCGGUAAUACGUAGGGGGCAAGCGUUAUCCGGAAUGACUGGGCGUAAAGGGGGCGUAGGUGGUUUAGUAAGUUGGCGGUGUAAGUCCGGGGCUCAACCCCGGCGCUACCGCCAAAACUAUUAGACUAGAGUGCAGGAGGGGUAAGUGGAAUUCCUAGUGUAGCGGUGGAAUGCGUAGAUAUUAGGAGGAACAUCAGGGGCGAAGGCGACUUACUGGACUGUAACUGACACUGAGGCACGAAAGCGUGGGAAGCAAACAGGAUUAGAUACCCCUGUAGUC
This 443-nucleotide ribosomal RNA is filed under the name uncultured bacterium. RNAcentral's name for it is "partial 16S ribosomal RNA". It matches the Rfam family "Bacterial small subunit ribosomal RNA", at positions 338 to 795 of the family's 1533-position model. The record is from RNAcentral.